GAUGAACGCUGGCGGCGUGCCUAAUACAUGCAAGUCGAGCGAACGGACGAGAAGCUUGCUUCUCUGAUGUUAGCGGCGGACGGGUGAGUAACACGUGGGAUAACCUACCUAUAAGACUGGGAUAACUUCGGGAAACCGGAGCUAAUACCGGAUAAUAUUUUGAACCGCAUGGUUCAAAAGUGAAAGACGGUCUUGCUGUCACUUAUAGAUGGAUCCGCGCUGCAUUAGCUAGUUGGUAAGGUAACGGCUUACCAAGGCAACGAUGCAUAGCCGACCUGAGAGGGUGAUCGGCCACACUGGAACUGAGACACGGUCCAGACUCCUACGGGAGGCAGCAGUAGGGAAUCUUCCGCAAUGGGCGAAAGCCUGACGGAGCAACGCCGCGUGAGUGAUGAAGGUCUUCGGAUUGUAAAGCACUUUAAGUUGGGAGGAAGGGCAGUAAGUAAUACCUUGCUGUUUUGACGUUACCAACAGAAUAAGCACCGGCUAAC
This 491-nucleotide ribosomal RNA is filed under the name uncultured bacterium. RNAcentral describes it as "bacterial SSU rRNA". It matches the Rfam family "Bacterial small subunit ribosomal RNA", at positions 28 to 501 of the family's 1533-position model. The record is from RNAcentral.